RNAcentral lists this ribosomal RNA (255 nucleotides) under uncultured bacterium. RNAcentral's name for it is "partial 16S ribosomal RNA". It matches the Rfam family "Bacterial small subunit ribosomal RNA", at positions 524 to 776 of the family's 1533-position model. The record is from RNAcentral.
UACGUAGGGGGCAAGCGUUGUCCGGAUUUAUUGGGCGUAAAGAGCGUGUAGGCGGUUUGGUAGGUCCGCUGUGAAAACUCGAGGCUCAACCUCGAGACGCCGGUGGAAACCAUCAGGCUAGAGUCCGGAAGAGGAGAGUGGAAUUCCUGGUGUAGCGGUGAAAUGCGCAGAUAUCAGGAAGAACACCCGUGGCUAAGGCGGCUCUCUAGUACGGUACUGGACGCUGAGACGACGAAAGCGUGGGGAGCGAACAGG